RNAcentral lists this ribosomal RNA (327 nucleotides) under uncultured eukaryote. Its description in RNAcentral is "partial 18S ribosomal RNA". It matches the Rfam family "Eukaryotic small subunit ribosomal RNA", at positions 1470 to 1796 of the family's 1831-position model. The record is from RNAcentral.
CCCUUAGAUGUUCUGGGCUGCACGCGCGCUACACUGAUGCACUCAACGAGUUUUCGACCUUGCCCGAUGGGGCUGGGUAAUCUUUUUAAAAUGCAUCGUGAUGGGGAUAGAUUAUUGCAAUUAUUAAUCUUCAACGAGGAAUUCCUAGUAAGCGCGAGUCAUCAGCUCGUGCUGAUUACGUCCCUGCCCUUUGUACACACCGCCCGUCGCUACUACUGAUUGGGUGUUUAAGCAAGAAUCUCGGAACCUUGCAGUUUUGUCUCCGGAUGAAACAGUGAGUGGAAGAGAAUCGAGCUUAUUUGCCUAGAGGAAGUAAAAGUCGUAACA